AAGACUAUACUUACAGGAUCAUUUCUAUAGUUCGUUACUAGAAUCUCAUGGACAUUCCUGCCUGGACAGGCUUUGAACCAUGAUCCUCAGAUCUCAGCCUCCUGAGUAGC
Molecule: small nucleolar RNA, 110 nt
Filed under: Dipodomys ordii (Ord's kangaroo rat)
Lineage: Eukaryota; Metazoa; Chordata; Mammalia; Rodentia; Heteromyidae
Description: Small nucleolar RNA U3
Rfam family: Small nucleolar RNA U3
About the family: Small nucleolar RNAs (snoRNAs) are involved in the processing and modification of rRNA in the nucleolus. There are two main classes of snoRNAs: the box C/D class, and the box H/ACA class.
Source: Rfam by way of RNAcentral